This 21-nucleotide non-coding RNA is filed under the name Caenorhabditis elegans. The record is from RNAcentral. Lineage: Eukaryota; Metazoa; Nematoda; Chromadorea; Rhabditida; Rhabditidae.
UUGGAUCGAGGUUUUAUCUUC